UACGUAGGGAGCGAGCGUUGUCCGAAGUUACUGGGCGUAAAGCGCGCGUAGGCGGGCUGUUAAGUGAGAGGUGAAAGGCUGGGGCUUAACCCCAUGCAGUGCCUCUCAUACUGGCGGUCUUGAGUGCGGCAGGGAGAAGUGGAAUGGCUGGUGUAGCGGUGAAAUGCGUAGAUAUCGUCAGGAACGCCAAUGGUGAAGACAGGUGACUGGGCCGGUACUGACACUGAGGCACGAAAGCGUGGGGAGCGAACGGG
This 254-nucleotide ribosomal RNA is filed under the name uncultured bacterium. RNAcentral's name for it is "partial 16S ribosomal RNA". It matches the Rfam family "Bacterial small subunit ribosomal RNA", at positions 524 to 776 of the family's 1533-position model. The record is from RNAcentral.